This is a ribosomal RNA of Panthera pardus (leopard), 119 nucleotides long. The record is from Ensembl. NCBI's taxonomy places the organism in Eukaryota, Metazoa, Chordata, Mammalia, Carnivora, Felidae.
GUCUUAUGCCAUACUUCCCUGAAUGUGCCAGAUCUCUAUUGUUAUCAGAACCUAAGCAGUUUUGGGCUUCAUUAGUACUUGGAUGGGAGCCCUUGAGGGAACAAAGCGUGCUGUAGGCU